Molecule: ribosomal RNA, 212 nt
Filed under: uncultured bacterium
Lineage: Bacteria
Description: partial 16S ribosomal RNA
Rfam family: Bacterial small subunit ribosomal RNA
Source: RNAcentral
CCCAGUUCAGAUUGCAGUCUGCAACUCGACUGCAUGAAGUCGGAAUCGCUGUAAUCGCGGAUCAGCAUGCCGCGGUGAAUACGUUCCCGGGCCUUGUACACACCGCCCGUCACACCAUGAGAGUCGGGAACACCCGAAGUCCGUAGCCUAACCGCAAGGGGGCGCGGCCGAAGGUGGGUUCGAUAAUUGGGGUGAAGUCGUAACAAGGUACC